Molecule: long non-coding RNA, 521 nt
Organism: Engraulis encrasicolus (European anchovy)
Lineage: Eukaryota; Metazoa; Chordata; Actinopteri; Clupeiformes; Engraulidae
Exons: 3
Source: RefSeq, a predicted model, not a curated record
GGGCUUGGCCUGGAGGUUGGCACAUGCCUGGUUUCCUUCGGGGAGAACAGUCCUUGUUUCGUCGUGGGAUUUGGCGUGGAAGGCCGAAGACUAUCGCGUGUGUAUCCAAACGGUGCUUUGGUGCCUCGGUUGCCAGAGGGGUUGCGUUGCCCUGUGGGAAGCUGCCAGCUGACUCGUGGGGUGGCUAGCUUUGUGGCAGUGUCUCUGGAUGCUAGGUAAGUUACCGUAGGACUCGGUGGGUUGCUUAGAUUGCAUGGUGUAGCCCUUGUCUAAUUCCUCUCCAUUGGUUUUGGAACAGCAGCGGAAUGUGGCGCGUUUGUGUUCGGAGCUCACAAUGGAUAGUGGCCUUGUAGAACCAUCUCCAGCCUAACGAUCUGCGGCUACUUGGAGAUUCUGUCCCUCGACUUCCCACGGCGUCGGUGGCUGCUGUUUUGUUUCGGUCCGGCUCACGCUCGGGAUUCGUCAACCCGGCGGGCUCUCGCUACCUUUGAUAAGGGAACGCACAUCUGUGACUGUGUUUC